UUCACUUGGCAGCAGAAGGUGUGACUUCGUAGCACGACAGUUCUUUUUUGCUGUCUCCUUGCCAGCGUUCCAUAGCUCUGCAGGUUACAGUUAAUAUUGGGAUGGUUACCCUGAGCAAGUCCCUGUGUCACUUUGACAGUGGCCUAGGAGAUGCCUGGAAGAUGAGGCUCACUGGCAGUUUCAGAGUAACAAGAGGAUAAAUGGUGCUGAUCUUUCUGCACACAAUGACGCCUUUAAGAAAGAAAGUUACAGUCAAAACUACCUGCAUCCAGGUAAGGAUCCCAUGUAAAUUCUGUUUAUAAAACCCUGAUAGACUGAAUGCUAUGUGGAACACUGGUGUUAGGGUGAGUCCUGUAGUUGCACACUUCAUUUCUAUGCUCUGUCUGAGAAUUCCUAACAUACAUUUCCUCCUAGCCCAGAGGAGCACACAGAAGGAUUGUCACACUCUUUUACAGGUGGGAAUUUAGGUCGUUGCCUGAAGAUACUUUGGAAGUCUGAAGAUUCAAGAGAUUUCCCUAUCCCAUCCCAUGCUCUACAUUACAGAGCCAGCUUUCUUCCUUCAUUUUUUGUAGCUAUCCAAAAUCAUCCACAAAAAUAAUUUACUUGAUUUCUCAGUGAAAUAGAAUUCAUAGAUAUACAGAAAAGGACAUUUAAGUCUUUCUACAGUUACACCUAAUUACUCAGGUGUAUGCAUUGCAGAAGUGCUCAGCUUUAAUUGUCUUACUUCUUGUUGUUUGAUUAAUUUGCAUUGUUGUAGCAUUGACGUUUUCAUUGUUCUACUUAAAAUAAUUGAACAACGAAACCUUAAAAUUCUUUGCAUGUGGUGCUUGUAAAUUUACACCUAAAACCCCCUGAAUACAAUGUUCCCCUGAAUACAAUGUUCCCAAGCCACCUAAAGAGGAGCAACCCACACAUGCCAUGCAAUCAUUCCAUUGCAGUGUUCAUCACAAUAAAAUAUUGGGGUUUUCCAUUGAGCUGUGUGUUCUGAGCAAGAUGCAGGAGAGCCUGGGGCUGUAUGUGAUCAAAAGCUUCACACAAUCUGACUGGGUCAAUGAGUUUUUCCAGGCAAUUUAGACAAUUUUCUAUGUGUAGACAAAAUACCCGGAUUUCUCCUUUGUGUUUAUCAAGGUAAGCUUCACAAAGUAUUUCAGAAAUCCCCCUCUUCCUUCCUCUCCUUCCUUCCUCCCCUCCUUCCAUUAAUUUAGGACUGAUGAACACUUUCAUACACCUUUCUUAAGGUCAGCAUGGUCACAACCACUUCUCUUGUGUUUAAACAGAAAAGCCUUAGCUGAAUCCCACCUAGUCUUGGCUACCCACAACUCCUCUCAGAGUGGGAGUGCAGGAUACUCAGGAUGGUUGCCAGCCCUGCCUGCAAACAGCACAGCAAAAGUUUUUCCAGUUGAUGAAGGCAAGGUGCUACAGUUAAGCCUCACAGCACAACAGACACUGCUGAAAUGAAUUUCACUUCUCAAACUCUUCUAGAAGUUCACCAUCCAUCACAGCUCCUCAUUAAUCCCCCUUUACACUCCUGAAGUGUAGCUCGCAUUUAGAACUUUCUAAUGUUACACUUUCCAUGUUCCUGUGUUUCAGUAGUUUUUUGGGGUUUUUAAAGUAUGUAAACCUGGCCAGAAUUUUUUUGAAGUACUUGGCCUUUUGGCCCAGGACUAUUAAAUGUAGUGAGGUUGGAAGCAGAGUUCAGAAGGCACACCUUCUGAAGAGUUUGCAGGCCUGAUUUGUGCCCUACCUGCAGUGAAGCAGUGCUAUGUGCAGAGGUGCUGUGGAACACGAGGCUACACCAUACCACAUCUUCCCAUCUUACUUGAAUAGGAGCUCUUUUAGUUUUGAUAUUUAGGUUGCAAAGUUUCUGAGCUUGAGUUCCAUUCAGACUGUGCUGUGAUGCUACUGGAUUUAGUAACAUCAGUGCAAUUAAAGAGAAACUAAUUGGGCUUCAUUUGUUGGUACUGGAGAAAUCUGCUUAACCUUAGAGUCAGUGCCUGUAUGGUUCAAAAGGGGAAACAGGUAAAUUCUGUAUGGUAUCCAUGAAAACUGAAAGUGGAUUGCUGGAGGCUAAACUUCUGCUCCUAAUUUUGUCAUGAUUAUA
Molecule: long non-coding RNA, 2101 nt
Organism: Serinus canaria (Common canary)
Lineage: Eukaryota; Metazoa; Chordata; Aves; Passeriformes; Fringillidae
Exons: 3
Source: RefSeq, a predicted model, not a curated record